UUCCCAUGUUCAAAGAUCAAGUUUAUGCUUGCUUCUUUCAAAUGCCUUCUGCUUUGAGGAUUCAGUAUGAUAAUCUUAACUGUCAGAUCUAUAACACUUUGUAAUUACCAAAUUUGGGAAUUAUCGUCGCUGUAUUUGAUUUCUUAUUGUUCCUGACAAAGUAUGUGUCUGGACAAAUGAGUUCGUUGUGCAUAGUAAUUCUAGGAUUAAGAAGGAGUAUGAGUAUGCAGGAGUAGGCACAAUGGAGAAUGAUAAAGUAUUACACAAUUUAGAUGAGGGCCUCAUGUUUAUGUGUCUUCUUUUUAUGUACACUGAUAUAUUCUUCAAUAUCACUAUUCCUUCAGGACUAAAAGUUUUGAGAUCCUUGGACCGGCAACUUGGUCGGAUAUGGAAGUACACAGACAUGUAUUUUAAGUUCAUCUUCGCACAACGAAGGCCCUGGGGCACGUUUUCAUGCUUCAUGCUGAUUGCUUUCCAAAUGAUUGAGCCAUCUCGGGUCGGAGUAGAGUGACGAACCAUUUUUGGCCGCAUGCAGUGCGCCAUUAAGCUGCUUUACCACAGCUCUGAACUCACAGGAGUCGUAUAAAUUGCUGCCACCUCCAUUCCGGGGGAUUGACCUCCAGAAUGGUGAAAGAGCCUGGCCGAGAUGGCAUGCGAGGGCCCUGAGCUCAUGCCUGUCAUAGAGUAAGCUACUGUUUCGAUCUCGGAUGCCUGGUGAUUCGAGGGGGAGGAAGGUGGCAGGUGUUAUUGGAGGUUGUUUGACCUCCCCUGGGGAUGGUGACUCUUUUGAACUGGAAGGUGGCUGUUCCAUUGGGAGGGAGGAUGAAAAAUCUUGUUGUUUCUUCUGUGAUCAUUAAGCCUUGUUUGGGUGGGGGAAGGUCUUUUAGAGAUGAUGAUUCUGAGGAGGGAACAUAGGAUUCCACGUCAUUACAUUACGAUAUAUUCCAAGACAAAAGAAAACAAAGUUAUAGAUUGGAAUGACGAGCUCAAUGAUGAAAUGCGUGUAAAACUAUUGGUUUGUGAGAAAUGAGUAGGUAAUUUUUUAAGUUUAACGG
This is a non-coding RNA of Phoenix dactylifera (date palm), 1055 nucleotides long. The record is from RefSeq and is a predicted model, not a curated record. Lineage: Eukaryota; Viridiplantae; Streptophyta; Magnoliopsida; Arecales; Arecaceae.